Molecule: ribosomal RNA, 445 nt
Filed under: Otacilia sp. MR81
Lineage: Eukaryota; Metazoa; Arthropoda; Arachnida; Araneae; Phrurolithidae
Description: partial 16S ribosomal RNA
Source: RNAcentral
UUCUAUUAGAUAUAAUUAAUAGUACUAUCUGCUCAAUGAAAAUUAAAUAGCCGCAAAUAAUCUUGUGCUAAGGUAGCAUAAUCACUCGUUUUUUAAUUAAAAACUAGAAUAAAAGACUAUACAUUUUAAUAAAUUUCUUAAUUUAAUAUCUUAAACUUAUUUUAAAUGUAAAAAAACAUUUAUUAAAAAGGUAGACGACAAGACCCUAUUGAACUUAACUUUAGUUAAACUGGGGCAGUUAAUUAAUAAUUAUUUUAAUAUAAAUACUUAAAUAAAUGAUCUAAUUAAAUUAAUCACUUAACUAAGUUACCAUAGGGAUAACAGCAUAAUAACUAAUUAUAGUUCCUAUAAAAUUAAAUGAUUGUGACCUCGAUGUUGAAUAAUAAUCUUAAUACUUACGCAAUAGUUCUAAAAAGAAAGUCUGUUCGACUUUUAAAAAAUUACA